GAGAUGGAGCUGAGGGGUGUGGAAGGAGCUGAGGAAAUCUCAACGAGGGGAUCCUGGGGCAAGAGUUGGGUAAAAAGGUCAAGACCACAGGUCCCGGCCAGAGGUACCCCUACAGAGGAGAGGACAUGGCUUCUGUAGCUGUCUAAAAGGCUACAUAGGACUGUAUACAAAGAGAGUCAAGUAUUUGCAUAUUUGAAAAAUCAGAGACUCCAAAAUUCUUGUGCAACAAAAGUAGGACAUCAGUCAUAAUCCACCUGGGCACUGGAGAUAUAGGUUGACAAGCAGGUCACAUCACUUUGAGAGGCAGCAAGCAUUUGGUACCUGGUAAUUAGGUGAAAAUCUAGCUUUCGGAGGUUGUAGAUCAUGCAGACAUUAGCAGAGCAGGAAUAAGCAGAGAUCUGG
Molecule: long non-coding RNA, 402 nt
Organism: Passer domesticus (house sparrow)
Lineage: Eukaryota; Metazoa; Chordata; Aves; Passeriformes; Passeridae
Exons: 3
Source: RefSeq, a predicted model, not a curated record